This 320-nucleotide unclassified non-coding RNA is filed under the name plant metagenome. RNAcentral's name for it is "partial contains 5.8S ribosomal RNA, internal transcribed spacer 2, and large subunit ribosomal RNA". The stretch from base 1 to 105 matches the Rfam family "5.8S ribosomal RNA", at positions 50 to 154 of the family's 154-position model. The record is from RNAcentral.
GAACUGCGAUAAGUAAUGUGAAUUGCAGAAUUCAGUGAAUCAUCGAAUCUUUGAACGCACAUUGCGCCCGCCAGUAUUCUGGCGGGCAUGCCUGUUCGAGCGUCAUUACAACCCUCAGGCCCCCGGGCCUGGCGUUGGGGAUCGGCGGAAGCCCCCUGCGGGCACAACGCCGUCCCCCAAAUACAGUGGCGGUCCCGCCGCAGCUUCCAUUGCGUAGUAGCUAACACCUCGCAACUGGAGAGCGGCGCGGCCACGCCGUAAAACACCCAACUUCUGAAUGUUGACCUCGAAUCAGGUAGGAAUACCCGCUGAACUUAAGC